Acanthochromis polyacanthus (spiny chromis) is the source of this 1147-nucleotide long non-coding RNA. RefSeq lists it as uncharacterized. The record is from RefSeq and is a predicted model, not a curated record. The transcript has 3 exons. Lineage: Eukaryota; Metazoa; Chordata; Actinopteri; Pomacentridae.
GAGAAACCAGAGCAGAGAGGCAGGAAGGAGGAAUUUACUGAUGAGACAGAGCUGAUCAGAGAGAGGAUCUAAUACCAGCAGCUCAGGAUGGAGGGAACAUCUCUGCUGUGGAUCUCUCUGAGCUCUCUGCUGUUCUCCACAACAGACCAAGGUAGGUCACCUUCCUCUGUAACCGUCUGAAACUCACCAACAGCAUGUUGGUCUGGAGAUGUUGGACAUUUAAAGUGUUGAAAUUUCUAUCAGAGCAUGAGCAGAACAAGUUCCCAGUGGAGUCAUCUGUUUCCUCCUGACAAAUCUAAAGCUGUGAAGCAGAUCUGUUGUUGUAGUUCCUCAAACGUCCACUUGAGGCUCCAACGGUCCCCACAGAGCUCCAUCAGAACAAGACAGAGAAGGUUCAUAGAUCUCAAAGGUUCAGUAAGAUUGUGACUUAAAGUUGUAACAUUCAGAGGAUGUUUGGGGGAUUUAGUCACAGACUGGGUUCCAUAAAACUCCUUUUCCAGAUGUGAUCAAGUUCUUAGAUUACAGGAGCUUCUUUAGAAAUCAUUUCUGUGACAUGAUAUAUUAGCAAAGGUGGAACGUUUUUGCCUGCACAGUGUCGUGUCAGCGCGAUAGAACAGAUCUUCUUAUUUGAGACGACACCAAUCAGCUAUAACAUCAUGACCACCUGCCCAGUAUUGUGUUGAUCCCCUUUUUGCUUCGAGGCCUGGACUCCACUGGACCCUGAAGGUGUUCUGUGGUAUCUGGACUCCACUAGACCCUGAAGGUGUUCUGUGGUAUCUGGACUCCACUAGACCCUGAAGGUGUUCUGUGGUAUCUGGACUCCACUAGACCCUGAAGUUGUUCUGUGGUAUCUGGACUCCACUAGACCCUGAAGGUGUUCUGUGGUAUCUGAACUCCUCUAGACCCUGAAGGUGUGCUGUGGUAUCUGGACUCCUCUAGACCCUGAAGGUGUUCUGUGGUAUCUGGACUCCACUAGACCCUGAAGGUGUUCUGUGGUAUCUGGACUCCUCUAGACCCUGAAGGUGUUCUGUGGUAUCUGGACUCCACUAGACCCUGAAGGUGUUCUGUGGUAUCUGCACUCCACUAGACCCUGAAGGUGUUCUGUGGUAUCUGGACUCCUCUAGACCCUGAAGGUGUUCUGUGGUAU